Molecule: non-coding RNA, 177 nt
Organism: Triticum aestivum (bread wheat)
Lineage: Eukaryota; Viridiplantae; Streptophyta; Magnoliopsida; Poales; Poaceae
Source: Rfam
GUAGUACUCCCUCCGUCCGAAAAUAUUUGUCAUCAAAAUGAAUAAAAAGGAAAUACUUGUCAUCAAAAUAAAUAAGAAGGAAAUACUUGUCAUCAAAAUGGAUAAAAAGGGAUGUACUAGAUACAUCCCUUUUUAUUCAUUUUGAUGACAAGUAUUUCCGGACGGAGGGAGUAUGUC